Non-coding RNA from Phrynosoma platyrhinos (Desert horned lizard), 70 nucleotides. Lineage: Eukaryota; Metazoa; Chordata; Lepidosauria; Squamata; Phrynosomatidae. The record is from the annotation of a GenBank genome assembly.
GGCAGUGUGGAGUAGUGGUUAGUUGGACUAGGACUCUAUAGAGACCAGGGUUCAAAUCCCUACUUGGCCA